GGAAACGAGGACCCACCAUGACAGGGCAGAUCCCCAAUACCUGCCCCUUCUUUAAGUCCAGCUCCACCCGAGGACAGAGGCAGCCGGCCUCUGCCAGGCCCCCCUGAGCAGCCAUCGCUUCAGUGGUGCUGGGUCAGGCGGACCCAAGAGUCAGCCCGUACGCAAGCCGCGCUACGUCAGGCGGGAGCGGACCCUGGACGGGGCCACGGACCCCGCUGCCUUCUCGGCGGAGGCCCGUAUCAGCAAUGUCUGACCUGGAGGCCGAGACCGCGCCACACACUUGGCGGCAGGGACCCGGAGGCCGACCCCUUGGCGGGAACCCAGCACAAAGGGUUGGCAUUGCCCGGCGCCUGGGACAGUCCUGGGCACAGCCUCAGCUCUGAGUCCCUCCGUCUCCCAGCGACAGACGCCAAGGGGUCCCGGGCCGCCUGAGGCUCCUUCCCACCACAGCCAUCUCGUUUAUCGGACCAGGAGCAGGCAUCCGUGAGACCUCAGAGCUUCAGAUCAAGGCCUUGGGGGGUCUGGGCCCCCAGGAAAUACGAAAUUCAUUGUGCAGAAAAGUCCUCCAGAGCUCUGCGGCCCCGCUCGGAUCCGCUGGACCCCCGUGCCUGGCUGAUCCCUGCCCACGUAGGGCAGGCCCACAUCUAAC
Molecule: small RNA, 649 nt
Filed under: Pongo abelii (Sumatran orangutan)
Lineage: Eukaryota; Metazoa; Chordata; Mammalia; Primates; Hominidae
Description: processed transcript
Source: RNAcentral